GCUCAGUGGCAGAGCACUUGCCUUGCAUGCAUGAGGCACUGAGUUCAAUCCUCAG
This 55-nucleotide transfer RNA is filed under the name Ictidomys tridecemlineatus (thirteen-lined ground squirrel). RNAcentral's name for it is "Spermophilus tridecemlineatus (thirteen-lined ground squirrel) tRNA". It matches the Rfam family "tRNA", at positions 10 to 63 of the family's 71-position model. Rfam says of the family: Transfer RNA (tRNA) molecules are approximately 80 nucleotides in length. Lineage: Eukaryota; Metazoa; Chordata; Mammalia; Rodentia; Sciuridae. RNAcentral also lists the same sequence under 1 other name. The record is from Rfam by way of RNAcentral.